RNAcentral lists this ribosomal RNA (519 nucleotides) under uncultured archaeon. RNAcentral describes it as "bacterial SSU rRNA". It matches the Rfam family "Archaeal small subunit ribosomal RNA", at positions 463 to 981 of the family's 1478-position model. The record is from RNAcentral.
AGCCGCGGUAACACCGGCGGCUCGAGUGGUAACCGUUAUUAUUGGGUCUAAAGGGUCUGUAGCCGGCCGGAUAAGUCUCUUGAGAAAUCUGGCAGCUUAACUGUCAGGCUUUCAGGAGAUACUGUCUGGCUCGAGGCCGGGAGAGGUGAGAGGUACUUCAGGGGUAGGGGUGAAAUCUUGUAAUCCUUGAAGGACCACCAGUGGCGAAGGCGUCUCACCAGAACGGACCUGACGGCAAGGGACGAAAGCUAGGGGCACGAACCGGAUUAGAUACCCGGGUAGUCCUAGCCGUAAACGAUACUCGCUAGGUGUCGGCCACGGUGCGACCGUUGUCGGUGCCGUAGGGAAGCCGUGAAGCGAGCCACCUGGGAAGUACGGCCGCAAGGCUGAAACUUAAAGGAAUUGGCGGGGGAGCACCACAACGGGUGGAGCUUGCGGUUUAAUUGGAUUCAACGCCGGAAAUCUUACCGGGACCGACAGCAAUAUGAAGGCCAGGCUGAAGACUUUGCCGGAUUAGCU